UCUUGCCCUCUAAACCAUUUCCAAUCAUACUACUUCUAUUCUGAGACCAGAACCACUAAUUACACUUAACAAUGAAUUUAUACUGUGUUAUGGUGAUGCCCUGUGAUAAUUCCUAGCAUCUGUUUUGUUUAUUUUGACUGUUGCUGAGCAGUGAGGUGACAUUCACAGAGUAGUCCCCACUCUCCCACCUCCCCUGCUACCCCAGCUUGGUGACAACGGUCACUGUAAAUCUAAUCACUCUAAUUUAAGAAACUAUGAUUGUUUUACCUAGGAACAGAAAUGUCUGCCAGAAACCUCCAUAGGGAGAAGCUAGAAAACACAGGGAACAGUGGCCCACAAUGCAUAAAGUCUCUAGAGCAGACCUGGAACUAGGCAAAACAAGCUCUUUACGAUAACAUUUGAAUCCAGAAAGAUGGUGGCUAGUGGCCCGACACAGUCUGCUGAGCAGCUGCGCCAGUACAAUACAUGAAAAACUUAAUCCAGCACCUCUUUUACUGAAAAUGAAUAACAAAACCUUAAUAAAUCAACAAUUACUUAUUGCUGUAUUUGGGAUAAUAAAUUCUUUAGUUUAUCAGUAGCUUGUGGCUUCCAUAGCAUGUUCUUUGAACAGUUUGCCUUUCAGUUACAUCCCCUUUCUCUCCUGAACAAUAAAUUAGCAUUCUUUUUUCUUUUAAAGGAAUAGAGGGGAAAAAGAGGAUAUAUUACAAUAUUUUUUCAAAGCAAAAAGAAAAAUGCAACAUAUUUUUGACAUAUAUCUUAAAAUAAUAUGAGGAUAACUUUCUCCGCGUGUUAGAUGACUAUGCAUAAAUAAUAAAGGACGUUAUGUUAUUUACAGUGUUACACAAUAAACUAAGAGAGUCUUAUUUAACACAUAAUCCAUAAAGACAGUAAAUGAUGAAAACAUCCAAGUAUGUACAAGAUGUAUUUACAAUAGAAUAGAGAAUUACAAAUGAUGAUAAUUGGCCAUGUUCUUUGUCUGCCCUUCUCUGCAGCAUUUCAUAGGUGCUUUUUUUGUUUCUUACUAGAAGUAAGUCCCAGCUGAUGGUAUGUAGCCACACUGCAGAGCCAGGAAGUGUCCAACAGGUUGAGAUGUGUCCUUUGAAGGAACACAAGUUCGCUGUCCUGGAUGUUCAGAAUCCCCGGAGUCUAGGAAAAACAUUUGUUUUCCACAUCAAUCCUGAGUCUAUGCUGUGCCAACUGAACACAACAAAAAUCAAAAGAAGAGAAGAGGCAGAGCGACCCUGACUAAAUGGAUAGGAAUUCAGUGCAAAAGAGGCCAUUUGAUUCUGUCUGAACGGAUGCAACAGCUCCAGCACUGACAGCACCCUUGUUCAUUACUAGUCAAAGACUUCAAGGCCAUCACAGGCUACAUAGACAUUCAUAUCUAAUAGCCAUGCAUAGCACGGCUGUAACCAACAUGAUGUACUUGACUUCACAAAUGGACUUUGCAUCAGCCUUGUUUCCUCCACUCUGAACAAUGGAGUCAAUAAAAGCAGCUAGAAAUGAA
Molecule: long non-coding RNA, 1507 nt
Organism: Numida meleagris (helmeted guineafowl)
Lineage: Eukaryota; Metazoa; Chordata; Aves; Galliformes; Numididae
Exons: 2
Source: RefSeq, a predicted model, not a curated record